AUGAAUAUGAUUGAGACUGUUUCUUUGUCUUUUAGGUAUCUUUCCUGCAGACAUAUUGAUGUGUACUGCAUUGUGUGAACAAGGAAGUUGGUUGUAGCAGUGUUUGUAGUAGCCAAAAAUAAGAGCUGGCCUAUCUAUUCCUUCCACACUGCAUUAAAGAAAGUUCGAUUGCAUCUGUACCAAGAAGUACCAGGCAGCCACUAAAAAGAACAUAGUUCUAGGUGAACUGAGAAGCAAAGAUCCAUAAAGUGUAUUGCUAAGAAGGAAGACAUUGAGGCUUCAACAGGAGAUGUGACUUGUCGAAGGUCCAGACCUGCAGCCUAGAGGAACCAUGUUUUGAUCCUCUGAAGUCCUGUGCUCAGGAUGAGUUCUGUCCAUGGUCUUCACCAGGGAUGGCUUCUACGUUAGCAAGUUGUGUGAAGUGGCCUCCAGGAGGCUCUCUAUGGAAGAUAUCUGUGAGCCACAUGAGAAACUGAUUUUGAGGGUCCUGAAAUUUGUGAUGGGGAACCUGGAACGCGUGGCCUCCGAGUCACCACGGUAGGAAAGAGAAAACUGAGGAAGGCACCACAGCCCCAAGCUGCCUCAGCUCAGACUGGGACAUGUCACUUCUGUUCACAGUCCAUUGGCCAGAACUAAAUGCACUUGUCCAAGCAGUCACAAAAAAGGCUGAGAGACCAAGGGGAGCCCACGGACAAUCAGUGCCAAGGCGUGUUCCAUGGUGCUUACUCCAGGAGAAGCCAGCUUCCAUGUUGUGCAGAUGCUCAAGCAGUGCUUGGAGAGGCUCCUUGUGGAAAGGAGCCGAGGCCUCUGCUGACAACCAGCACCAGAUGGACCUCACAGUCUCGCAACUAACAUGGGAACCAGUAAUCUCAUGCCAGAGGAAGCACUCCUGAGGCAGAGGAGAUUUCAGGAGAGAACAGGUUGAACAUUAAUAAGGAGGAGCUUUGGCACUGGUCCAAGAAACAGGAUAAGCUAAAUCUCUGCAUCUAUUCUGGACACCAGAAUGGCGCGGGGACCAUUUAGAGGUGAGAUGGGCAGAUGAGGAGCUGAAGUUUCAGAGAGGUUAAGCAAUUUGCCUAGGUUCACACAGCAAAGAUGAUGAAACUUACAACCACAAGGUGAGCCCUUCUUACUAGAAGUUCUCUUCGUGUCUCCUGGUGUUCACAUAUUGGAAGACUUAAUCCUUCAGUGACCGGGAAAAGACCUCCUAGGACCUACCAAUCCAGCCUUAUCAGACACCUGGCAGAGAAAGUGAUUUCUGAAGCAGGAGAAAACCCAGGAAGAUUGCUCAGUUCCUGUGCAAGCUGCUUCCCAGCUGGAGAUGACAGUUAAUCUUGAAAAUCAAUUCAGUGCCUGCUCUCACUGCAGACACUCCUCAGGGCAGGCCACGGCUCCUCUCACCACCGUUAAACAGAAUAAAAAGUGGGGAAUUGAGCAGCAUAAGACAUGCAGUGGCUGCCAGUGGGAAGCGGUCAGGAGCAACUGUGUGCUGGGCCCGGGGUCGCCCUAGAACACUGCUAUUGGGCUCACAGGUGGCACCUUCAGCCUCAGGCACAGACAAGGUAUGGGCGGACAAGAAGUGGUACUGGCCGAUUUUGCCUGAGAAUGGGCAGAAUCAGCUCAUGUGGGCAACCUCAGUCUUUCUCUGACAGCCUGGGCAUGGGCUGCUUUGGCUUUGUGGCAAGCCUGUUCUUUUCUGGAUACUUUCUGGACUGUGACCCUGUGUCUUCUGAGAUUGUCCAAGAGUGGACGAGGCUUACCCAUGGGUGAUGACUCAGCAGGGAGCCCAGGGCCCUCUGUGUGUGGCUGCAAGGCUUCAGAUAUCUCACAUGUCUUCUCAAGGUUGCAAUUAUGUCACAUGGCUCUAAGACUAGUAGACUAGGCCAGAUUAUUCUAGAAUCUUCUCUCAGAUUCUGGAAGGUAGGCAGAAAACACCACUUUCAGAGAGGAUUAAUUCUGCUUCAGAAAAAAAGUGAGAUGAGAAAGCAAUGGUAUCCUUCGGUGGGACAUGUGACAGUAUCACCUCACAGCACUGUGGUGUUUAUCUUAAUGUCUUUCACUUACAAGAUCAAGGCUCUGGGAGGUAGGUAGGCAGGGCAGAAACUAUUGUCCCCAUUUUAAAGAGGAGGAAACUGAUGUUCAGAGACUUUAACAAGGAUUGGAAUGGUAGAAAGCAAACUCAAAGACGGACCUUACUAUAAAUAUCUGAGGUUUUUUUUUUUUUUCUAACAAUUAACCCUCGCUACAUGACUCUGUAUAUCUGAGACCGAGUAUCUUCUUUCCUGAGGAUAUUGUAUGCUUGAGGUGAGGGUAAUUAUGAUAAUAGCAACGUGUAUAUAGGAGGGCUGUGAGGAGUCCCGGAGAAAAUAGAUGUGAAAGUACAUUGUAAAGCAAUAGUGCCAUGCAAGGGAAUGUAAUAUUAAUAUUAUUCAAACUCCUGCCACCUCAUGUUCUCUUCAAAUGUCUCUUCAGCAAUGACUUGCCUUUCUGUCCUUUGCCUACCCAGCUUCAUCAUCUGAGUAUAAUGAGAACAAACAUAUGGGGGCUCUGCACUGGUGCUUACUAUCACUAUUUUACAGAUGAGUAAGCUGAGGCUCCGGGAAAUGACUUUCCUCAGCUAAUAAACCCAGUGUAUGGCAGGAUGGCGAUGCUCCGCCCCUCCUGCUGCAGCUCACCUCCCAGGUGUGUUCCCGCUCACACUCUGUGUUGCCUCUCUGUAUGGUGACCUCGAGGCUCUCAGACCCUGCAUGCUGUAGAGAGAGCCUGUGCACUCCUUAAAGUACGGUCACGUCUCAUUUAUGCACAUCACCCUGUCCCCAGUGGCUCUUAGGCAGGAGGAAAUCUUCAUUCCAUCUGAGGCCCAGGAACAGGGUUGUGUGAGGGCUGCUCCCCAUAAUGUCACAGUGGGGGCUGCCAAAAUGUCUUCACAUACAGGAUGAGCCACAGGAGCAGCCAGUGGAAGGAACCCUGGUACUCUGCCUUCUACAGUCUGUGGGGAGGAGGACACUUUCUUAAACCCAGUUUGUCUGAGGAUCUCAGCCGUCAGGGAGGAAAAAGCCACCCAGUCCUCAGUCCUCCCCUUCUAGGAAUCAGGAAUGUUGGAGAGAACUGGGCACUGGGCUCAAAGACAGGGAAUCUGGAAUUUUAGGAAUGAGUGAAGUUUCCAGAGAAAGGCUGCAUGUGGUCAAAUUCCAGUUCUGCCAUUUCUUAAGUAUGUGAUCAUGGACAACUCACUUGAUUCCUCUGAGCCUCAGUUAUCUCAUCUGAAAAAUGGGUGUUUAUUUGUUAAUUAAAAACAUUUAUAAUGAAGGAGCAAGUGAUGCUGUAGGUAUGAAGGAUACAAUGAGGCAGAUGAGGUCUUGGGGGCUGAAAAUAACUCAAGGAGUCAAUCGCUAGUGAAGGAAGUAGAGCAGCUAAUAAAUGCACAAGAAAAAUUUACAUAGUGUGAGUACUAUAAAAGAAAAGCAGCAUAAGUUGAUGACUAAGGGGGCUCUUUUGGAUUGAGGUGGGUUAGGGACGAUGUUUCUGAAGAAGUGACAUUUGAAUGAGAUAAGAGUGACAAGAAUGAGCCAGCUAUGCCAAGACCCGAAGUUGGACAGUGAGGAAGUAGAAAGAGGGUUUCAGGUAGAUGGGGCAGCCUGGGCACAGGCCCCGAAGGAGGAGCAAGUGUGAUGAGCUCAGAGUGCUGCAGAGUUGAAAGGCAGCCAGUGUGGCUGCAGAGAAGCAAGAGGUGGGGCAAGUGGUGGAGGAGGUCAGAGAAUGAGGCCAGGCUGAUCCUGCUGGCCUCAAGGCAUGGUCAGAAGUAUGCAAGUCACUGCAGUGUGGUAGAAAGCCAUUGGAGGUUUUUAAGCAGAAGAGCAACAUGACCUGAUUCGUAUUUGUAAAAUAUCUGUCAGGCUGCUAGUAGGGAAAAUAACUGGGGCGGGGGGUAAGAGUAGAAGCAGGGAGAUCAUCUGUGGCAUUGCAGUAGUCAAGGAAAACAAUGGCAGUGGCUUAGACUAUAGUGGAGCGAAAGAGGUCAGAUAUGGGAUGUAUUCUGUGGGAAAAGCUGGCAGAACAUGAUGGGGGAUUAGAUGAGGGGAUGUGGGAGAGAAUUCAAGAUGGUACCUGGCUUUAGGAAUGACUCAAUAGUCAUCUGGUAACAACUCACCUAGAUAAUGGAUGAGUAGUAUGCAGCAAAGUGCCAGAAACUUACUAAAGGAUCAGUACAUUUUUAUCACAUUCAUUAUUCCUGUAGGCCAGUUCUGCAACUGACAUUCAGUUGAACUUUCGGUGAUUGCCUCUCUGAUCCUCAGUUUCCUCAUGUAUACAAUAUGGCAGGCCAUAUAUUUUUACAUUCAUUUGACAAAUAUGUAUUAGACAUUUAUCAUACACCAGGCUCUAUGCUGAGUACCAGAGAUACAAGGUAAAGAAGACCAAAUAGUAUCGGCCCUUAUGGGAGAGUGGAGAAGACACUAUUGAACAGGAAGUUACUAGUCCUAGGGAGGGUCAAGAAGGAGGUGCUGGGAGAAAGACCUUGUUCAAGUGUGUGUCCUUGGGGAGGCUUCCUGCAUGGGAUGACAUUUAAGUGGGGUCACAGGAUAAGUAGGGGUUAGCAAGGUGAGGGAUGAGGAUGGGUGGGCUGGGGUGAGCAGGGAAAGAGGGUAUCAGACAGGGGUAGUAGCAUAAGUUAACUACUUGAGGCAUAAAAGAACAUGGCCUUUCCAAAGCCAAAAUGUCCAAGUGUUGAACUGCCCAAACACCCCAUCUCCUGCUUGAGAGACCAUGGAAAGAAAGGGUGGCAAGACUCAUCAAAUGCAGGCAAGUCCAUUUUCAAAUUAUCUGGAUAAGCCAUAGAUUUGUUCAAAUUUUUUAAAAGGUUAGCAAACCACAUUAAAUGCUUGUGAUCUUUUGGAAGGAUCUGGUCUCUAGUUGUGUGUUGCUCAACUCCUUUGCUAAGAUAAUUUAUCAGCUGUUCUUAAAUAAGGAUGUGCAUCAGCCUCUCUAGGGGGAACAGAGAAAGUGGCCUCACUCCCAAAAUUCUGAUUCACAGGUCUCUCUAUAGGUAUUCCUGACAUGCAAUCAGGAUUAGACACUGCUUAAUUAUGGGAAUACGCUUCACUGAUUCUGCAACAUGUUCUGAGUUCUGUCCUUGAGUGCAGCUGGAUCACUAAAAAGCUACUGGACUUUAUUAUACUAUGUUCCUAAUGGACAAAAGUCUUGGAAUUAUGCACAGAUGUGGAAAAAAUUCAUCUUAAACAUUUCUGCAUUCCCUGUAGAACUAUUUUUGAAGGUAUUACAAUGUUCAUUAUAAUCUAUUUGCUUUAGAAUUUAUUUCAGUUAAAGAAUUGGCAUGCUUUCUUUUUACAGAUGGUGAGCAUUAAAUAAUCCAAUAUAACUACCUUUUUGCCUUGGCUGCUAGGAAGCUCAGAGUCAAAACUGAAUCCCACCUACAGUAACUAUUCUCAACUGCACAAGCAGCAUAUUGGCAUACCACUUUUCUCGUGGUUUUAAUUUCAAAUUUUUAGUUUAAUACUAUGCCAAGUAUAUAUGAAGAACCCACUGUUUCUACAUCUGAAUGAAGGUUCUUCACCAGCACCAACAUGCACCAUUGCUGGAGUCCAUGGAAGAAUGACAAAGACUAUAGACAUCACUACUAUGUGGGUGGCAGACACUGUGAAACCAAACCACUAGGCACUUGGAAAUAGAAGCAUUUGUUGAAAUCACAUGCAAUUAGAUCAAAGACAAAAGUAUUCUUUCUCACAAUUCCAUCCAGAAAGAACACUGAGGGUCAGGCCUGGUGGCUCACGCCUGUAAUCCCAGCCCUUUGGGAGGCUAAAGUAGGUGGAUCACUUGAGGUCAGGAGUUUGAGACUAGACUGGCCAACAUGGUGAAACCCCAUCUCUACUAAAAAUACAAAAAUUAGCUGGGCAUGGUGGCACACGCCUGUAAGCCCAGCUACUUGGGAGACUAAAGUAAGAGAAUCACUUGAGCCUGGGAGGUGGAGGUUGCAGUGAGCAGAGAUCACACCUCUGCACUCCAGCCUGGGUGACAGAGUGAGGCUCUGUCUCAAAAAUAAAUAAAUAAAUAAAUAAAUAAAUAAAUAAAUUAAUUAAUUAAUAAUAAUAAAAAGAAGACUGGGUAUUCCUGAUGUGAGUCAGUUUGUCUUAUGAGUGUUUCCUCAAAAAAAUAGCAAGAAGCAGGUUACACUAUGUGCAAUCCAUUUCCCUCUCCUUUGAUUAUCACAGCAAUCCCCAGAAGCAGCCCUUUCACAGAGAGGAAGCUGAGGCUUAGAGGGUGUCAAUGGAUGAUCCAGUGCUGCAGAGCCAGAAGGUAGCAGAUCCAGGAUGUCUGUCUUUUGUGACAAGUCCCACCUUCCUUCUGGAUGUAUCUUUCUAUCCCCUGUAAAUGAGUCCGACUGCAGGUACCAGCCUUAUAAAUGUGAUUUUCUCCAUCUGCUUGGGUAUUCCACCAGGCCCCCCACUGUUGGCACUCUGCUUCUUCUCAGCCAACAAGGCCUUUUGAUGAUGUGCUGUGUUUCCCUGUCUCUGAUAACCCAGUUUAGGUCUUGUUAUUCCAAUUUUGACCUUUAUCUCCAACAUUACAGAGGAAUCUCCGUAUUCUUCUCAGUGCAUUUCUGUCUCCUAUCUCCCCACCUUCCUGUCACACCUCAACCCCAUUCUAAGCUUCAUGUCCAAUAUCUGUAGAGUACAGGUGCUCACUCCCAGAAACUGUGGGAUCCAUCCUUAGUGGGGGAAGCUGCAUGAGCUGCUUUGCUGCUGCUCUUGGAUGGAUCCUGGGAUGAUUGUUGGAAGCCCUAAUCCACUGGGCCCUCAACUUCUAGAAGGAAUUUUCUUUUUCUUUCCCUAUUUAUUAUUAUUUUGUAGUCUUUCAUGUUCCACAAUAAUUUAAGGAGGUUCAAAUUUAGAAACAUUUCCUACUGAAGCAAAAGCUGAUAUUUUGCCCCAGGACAAAAUAUUUUUGCAUUGAUCCAGGGGGAACUGAGACCCAGCGCAAUGGGAAAGACUCAGGCCCAGAGGGCCCGUUCUGCCAGUAUGCACCAUCCCCUCUGUUCCAAUUAUGCUGUCAGCAAAUGUAUCCAUUUUUGAAAUUACACCACUAUUAUGGGUUAUUUAUAUAGGGUAGACUGAAGUGUCCAUAAUGCUUAUCCAUAAGGUGAGCACUUUCUUAUUUCUGACUGCUCUCUACUCCACCUGUUUCCUGGAUUUGAGCCAAUUUGCCACCCAUUUUUAAUAGAUGGUCCUACUUCUGUGCUUUUAGACUAUUAUCCACUUUCUUGAGUGCCACUAGUCUGUAUUAGUUUACUGAGUUUAGAAGGGUCACAGUCUCUAUCUACCAGGUUACCAAGACAGGUGAGUCUGUUCUGUUUUACACACACACACACACACACACACACACACACACACACACGCAUGCACACAUAGAGUUCUCCCAAACUUUGUAGUCCCUGAAUUGGGUGGUUUCCCAUGAGCUCUUAUUGCCUAAGUGAAUAAAGAAGUUGAGACGUUUUCCUUGCUCUGGAAACAUUAGUGUCUGUCUAAGUCAUUUGUGGUUUCCUUGGUCUAGUCUACUAGAAGUUCUUUCUUGCAUGAAAAAAACUGAAAUGGAACUUGAAUGAUCCUCCUCCCACUAUUUAAGUACUGCUUUCUGAAACUUUCAGCUAUAUAGCAAUUGCCUCCAAAGAGUUCCUGUUAUUUUCCUCUAUUUUUUUCCUUUGUAUUUGGAUUUACCUCUUUAGAACCAUGCUUCUUCUCAUCCAUCUUCUGUCCCGAGCACCUUAUUACUCUGUUCAUUAGAGUCUUUUUCAGAACAUACUUCAUAGUCCCUCAGGAUUCUGUUUAACCAUCCUUUUCUUUGGAAGCCUAAGUGCAAGGGAAAGCCAUUGUGAAGAUACAGUGACAGGCACUUAGUGGGUUCAGGUCGUUUCAUUCCAGCAAUUGGCUGACCAAGCCAAAGCACUAGAAAGAGUUGACCACUUCUGCAUAAAACUUGGUCAGUGGGUGGCCGAAGAACUGAUUUCAGUCCUGACCCCUUCAGAGCCUUGGUUUCUUCAACUGUGAAAUUAUUGAGUUGGGUUGGAGGAAUUCUUCAGCUUCAUUUCUAAAAUUAAACUUUUGAUUUUGAUAAAAUUGGGGCCAUCUGCAAUUGCAAGAAAUAGUGCAGAAAGAUUCCAUGUACCUUUUAUUUCAUUUCCUCCAAUGGCAACUUCUUGCAAAACUCUAGUACAGUAUCACAACCAGGAUAUUGACAUUGACACAUUUAAGAUACAGAACAUUUCCACCACCACAAAGACCCCUCAUAUUGCCCCUUUGUAGACACACACCUUCCUCCCUUGUCCCUGACUCUUAGCAACCACUAAUCUAUUCUCCAUUUCUAUAAUUUUGUCAUUUCAAGAAUGUUCAUACCAAUGAGAACACAUGGACACAGGAAGGGGAACAUCAC
RNAcentral lists this long non-coding RNA (8442 nucleotides) under Homo sapiens (human). RNAcentral describes it as "HSALNT0153601". The record is from RNAcentral. Lineage: Eukaryota; Metazoa; Chordata; Mammalia; Primates; Hominidae.